This 464-nucleotide ribosomal RNA is filed under the name uncultured bacterium. Its description in RNAcentral is "partial 16S ribosomal RNA". It matches the Rfam family "Bacterial small subunit ribosomal RNA", at positions 338 to 795 of the family's 1533-position model. The record is from RNAcentral.
CCUACGGGGUGCAGCAGUAGGGAAUUUUCGUCAAUGGGCGCAAGCCUGAACGAGCAAUGCCGCGUGAACGAGGAAGGUCUUCGGAUCGGAAAGUUCUGUUGAAGGGGAAACAGAGCGGAGAGAGGAAAUGGUCUCCGAUUGAUAUUACCCUUCGAGGACGUCACGGCUAACUACGUGCCAGCAGCCGCGGUAAUACGUAGGUGGCGAGCGUUAUCCGGAUUGAUUGGGCGAAAAGGGUGCGUAGGCGGCCUGCUAAGUCUGGAGUGAAAGGUACCGGCUCAACCGGUACAGGCUCUGGAAACUGGCGGGCUAGAGAGCAGGAGAGGGCGGUGGAACUCCAUGUGUAGCGGUAAAAUGCGUAGAUAUAUGGAAGAACACCAGUGGCGAAGGCGGCCGCCUGGCCUGUUACUGACGCUGAGGCACGAAAGCGUGGGGAGCAAAUAGGAUUAGAUACCCGAGUAGUC